Molecule: ribosomal RNA, 2873 nt
Filed under: Trichinella sp. T8
Lineage: Eukaryota; Metazoa; Nematoda; Enoplea; Trichinellida; Trichinellidae
Description: eukaryotic LSU rRNA
Rfam family: Eukaryotic large subunit ribosomal RNA
Source: RNAcentral
ACCGGCCACGUACCAGAACGGUGCGUAUACGACGGUGACCAAACCCAUAAAUUGACCAGGAUAGUGACCGUAAUCCCAGGGGCAAGCGUCGAAUUGACGCAACAACAAGCCUGUGCUGAAUUCCCAGAUGUAAGCCCAGAUUAGGUAGAAGACUCCUCGUACGAGCAGCGAACAGCGAUCCUGCAAGCUUAAAUAAACCACCUCUCCGGUGAGCAUGGUGAAGCCGUAAAUGAAAGCCGCCCAAAUGCUGGUCAGACCGUGCAAUUUUCUGUUGCCGCCGUUGCGUUCGUGGGUUUCGGCUCACGAUUUGUCUGGUACGUCGGGAAAAAAGUCAAUUAUGAAUGUAAUUGAUCUGACUACCGUGCGUAACGGUAUUCAAAUGUGUGUUUGAUGGACUUUAUUUGCAAUCGGCGCUCAAUGUGUUUUCUUUUAUCGGUGGCGUCAAUGUUAGCCUCCCAUCCGACCCGUCUUGUAACACGGACCAAGGAGUUCAGUAGGCACGCGAGUCGUUGACGUUUUUCAUUGAACAGUCGAAGGCGAAAUGAAAGUGUUCAUGAAAAUGAACAGUACUUUUUUAUGGAGUGCUGUUCGCUUUCAACAUGAUCGUCCUUUUUUGUGCUUAAUUGUGCAAAAUUGAUGUAUGGGGACGCGCAGUGUGGUGCCGUUGAAUAGUCGCACUGUUCUUUCUUUCUCUUCGGGGUUGGAGGAACAAUUGUCGAUCAGUCGGUUUCGGAGCGUGCACACUGGUACCCGAAAGAUGGUGAACUAUGCUUGAGCAGAAUGAAGCCAGAGGAAACUCUGGUGGAAGUUCGUAGCGGUGUUGACGUGCAAAUCACUCGUCUGACUUGAGUGUAGGGGCGAAAGACUAAUCGAACCAUCUAGUUGCUGGUUCCUUCCGAAGUUUCCCUCAGGAUAGCUGGCAUUUGUUUGUAACAAUUUUAUCCGGUAGAGCGAAUGAUUAGAGGUGUUGGGAACGCAAUGUUCUCAGCCUAUUCUCAAACUUCGAAUGGGUAAGCAAGGCGUUUUGCUUUGAUUUUACGAUGAAAUCGCCCAAUUAGAAUGCAUAAAUGCCUAGUGGGCCAAUUUUGGUAAGCAGAACUGGCGAUGUGGAAUGAACCAAAAGUCAGGUUAAGGUGCCAGACAUUGGCGCUCAUGAAAUACCAGAAAAGGUGUUGGUCGAUAUAGACAGCAGGACGGUGGCCAUGGAAGUUGGAAUCCGCCAAGGAGUGUGUAACAACUCACCUGCCGAAUCGACUAGCCCUGAAAAUGGAUAGCGUUUGAGCGCCAGGCCCAUACCUGACCGUCUCAAUUACGCACUUUUUUUCGGAAAAGGUGUAAUGAACGUUGAGACGGGUAGGAAGGUCGCGACAGUGUUGCUUUGAAGAGUUUUGAGCGUGAGCUCGCUCGGAGCCGCUGUUGGUGCAGAUCUUGGUGGUAGUAGCAAAUAUUCAAGUGAGAACCUUGAAGGCUGAAGUGGAGCAAGGUUCCAUGUGAACAGCAGUUGGACAUGGGUCAGUCGAUCCUAAGAAAACGGCGAAAGCUUGUUCGAAUUUGCGACAUGAAUUGUAAGACUGUGUGUGUUUAUUGUGUGUGCAGUUGUCGUAUGUUUUCGAAAGGGAAUCCGGUUGAUAUUCCGGAACCGAGUAACGGAGACAAAGAGUAGCGCUUUAAUCUCUCUGUGGGGUUGGCGUUCAACUCAAUCGCGCGGUAACGCAAGCGAACUCGGAAAAUGACCGUCGUGAGUUUCGAAAAGAGUUUUCUUUUCUUUUUAAGGGACGCAUUCCCUGGAACCGGGUUGUCCGGAGAUAGGGAUUCUGGUAUCCAUAAAACGCCGACUUUUUCACGGUGUUCGGAGCGCUCUCGUCGGUACGUGAAAAUCCGAGCGACGCCUGGUAAAUCUCGUACUUGGUCGUACUGAUAUCCGCAGCAGGUCUCCAAGGUGAAUAGCCUCUGGCCGAUAGAAUAAUGUAGGUAAGGGAAGUCGGCAAAACGGAUCCGUAACUUCGGAACAAGGAUUGGCUCUAAGGGCUGGGCCGAUCGGGCUGAGGUUUCAAGCGUGCAGUGUAUGCUUGGCUGAGUUGUGUUGAGGACUUGUUCACUUGCCGCCGUUUGUUCGGUUGGUCUAGUGUAUUCGAGUCUGAAGCAGAGCUGGCCGACAGACCGGCACGUGCAGAACCUGAGCUGCGCGGCUGUCCGUUUACGUGUACAGACCGUUUCGGUCGGCAUUCAACAGCCAACUUAGAACUGGCACGGACACAAGGAAUCUGACUGUAUAAUUAAAACAAAGCAUUGCGAUGGCCGAUGAUCGGUGAUGACGCAAUGUGAUUUCUGCCCAGUGCUCUGAAUGUCAAAGUGAAGAAAUUCAAUCAAGCGCGGGUAAACGGCGGGAGUAACUAUGACUCUCUUAAGGUAGCCAAAUGCCUCGUCAUCUAAUUAGUGACGCGUAUGAAUGGAUCAACAAGAUUCCUUCUGUCCCUAUCUACUAUCUAGCGAAACCACAGCCAAGGGAACGGGCUUGGCAAAAUCAGCGGGGAAAGAAGACCCUGUUGAGCUUGACUCUAGUCUGACUCUGUGAAGAGACAUGAAAGGUGUAGCAUAGGUGGGAGAUUGUCAAAUUGCCAUCGUUCGCGCGGUGGUCCGGUGAUCGCCAAUGAAAUACCACUACUUUGAUCGUUUCUUUACUUAUUCGGUAAAGCGAAAAAAUUGUGGCCAAUUUGGCGGUGUUUAUGUCGCUGUUGGUCAUUGUUUUCAUGUUAGAUUGAAGCUUUGUUUACAGCCGUCGCUUUGUGUCGCCAUUUGACGCAUUGUUGUACUGGGUUAUCCCGGUGUGUGGUGUAGUCAGUAUGGAUGAUCGGCGAUAGGUUUGAAGUGAU